This 2904-nucleotide ribosomal RNA is filed under the name Escherichia coli. RNAcentral describes it as "bacterial LSU rRNA". It matches the Rfam family "Bacterial large subunit ribosomal RNA". Lineage: Bacteria; Pseudomonadati; Pseudomonadota; Gammaproteobacteria; Enterobacterales; Enterobacteriaceae. The record is from RNAcentral.
UUAAGCGACUAAGCGUACACGGUGGAUGCCCUGGCAGUCAGAGGCGAUGAAGGACGUGCUAAUCUGCGAUAAGCGUCGGUAAGGUGAUAUGAACCGUUAUAACCGGCGAUUUCCGAAUGGGGAAACCCAGUGUGUUUCGACACACUAUCAUUAACUGAAUCCAUAGGUUAAUGAGGCGAACCGGGGGAACUGAAACAUCUAAGUACCCCGAGGAAAAGAAAUCAACCGAGAUUCCCCCAGUAGCGGCGAGCGAACGGGGAGCAGCCCAGAGCCUGAAUCAGUGUGUGUGUUAGUGGAAGCGUCUGGAAAGGCGCGCGAUACAGGGUGACAGCCCCGUACACAAAAAUGCACAUGCUGUGAGCUCGAUGAGUAGGGCGGGACACGUGGUAUCCUGUCUGAAUAUGGGGGGACCAUCCUCCAAGGCUAAAUACUCCUGACUGACCGAUAGUGAACCAGUACCGUGAGGGAAAGGCGAAAAGAACCCCGGCGAGGGGAGUGAAAAAGAACCUGAAACCGUGUACGUACAAGCAGUGGGAGCACGCUUAGGCGUGUGACUGCGUACCUUUUGUAUAAUGGGUCAGCGACUUAUAUUCUGUAGCAAGGUUAACCGAAUAGGGGAGCCGAAGGGAAACCGAGUCUUAACUGGGCGUUAAGUUGCAGGGUAUAGACCCGAAACCCGGUGAUCUAGCCAUGGGCAGGUUGAAGGUUGGGUAACACUAACUGGAGGACCGAACCGACUAAUGUUGAAAAAUUAGCGGAUGACUUGUGGCUGGGGGUGAAAGGCCAAUCAAACCGGGAGAUAGCUGGUUCUCCCCGAAAGCUAUUUAGGUAGCGCCUCGUGAAUUCAUCUCCGGGGGUAGAGCACUGUUUCGGCAAGGGGGUCAUCCCGACUUACCAACCCGAUGCAAACUGCGAAUACCGGAGAAUGUUAUCACGGGAGACACACGGCGGGUGCUAACGUCCGUCGUGAAGAGGGAAACAACCCAGACCGCCAGCUAAGGUCCCAAAGUCAUGGUUAAGUGGGAAACGAUGUGGGAAGGCCCAGACAGCCAGGAUGUUGGCUUAGAAGCAGCCAUCAUUUAAAGAAAGCGUAAUAGCUCACUGGUCGAGUCGGCCUGCGCGGAAGAUGUAACGGGGCUAAACCAUGCACCGAAGCUGCGGCAGCGACGCUUAUGCGUUGUUGGGUAGGGGAGCGUUCUGUAAGCCUGCGAAGGUGUGCUGUGAGGCAUGCUGGAGGUAUCAGAAGUGCGAAUGCUGACAUAAGUAACGAUAAAGCGGGUGAAAAGCCCGCUCGCCGGAAGACCAAGGGUUCCUGUCCAACGUUAAUCGGGGCAGGGUGAGUCGACCCCUAAGGCGAGGCCGAAAGGCGUAGUCGAUGGGAAACAGGUUAAUAUUCCUGUACUUGGUGUUACUGCGAAGGGGGGACGGAGAAGGCUAUGUUGGCCGGGCGACGGUUGUCCCGGUUUAAGCGUGUAGGCUGGUUUUCCAGGCAAAUCCGGAAAAUCAAGGCUGAGGCGUGAUGACGAGGCACUACGGUGCUGAAGCAACAAAUGCCCUGCUUCCAGGAAAAGCCUCUAAGCAUCAGGUAACAUCAAAUCGUACCCCAAACCGACACAGGUGGUCAGGUAGAGAAUACCAAGGCGCUUGAGAGAACUCGGGUGAAGGAACUAGGCAAAAUGGUGCCGUAACUUCGGGAGAAGGCACGCUGAUAUGUAGGUGAAGUCCCUUGCGGAUGGAGCUGAAAUCAGUCGAAGAUACCAGCUGGCUGCAACUGUUUAUUAAAAACACAGCACUGUGCAAACACGAAAGUGGACGUAUACGGUGUGACGCCUGCCCGGUGCCGGAAGGUUAAUUGAUGGGGUUAGCCGCAAGGCGAAGCUCUUGAUCGAAGCCCCGGUAAACGGCGGCCGUAACUAUAACGGUCCUAAGGUAGCGAAAUUCCUUGUCGGGUAAGUUCCGACCUGCACGAAUGGCGUAAUGAUGGCCAGGCUGUCUCCACCCGAGACUCAGUGAAAUUGAACUCGCUGUGAAGAUGCAGUGUACCCGCGGCAAGACGGAAAGACCCCGUGAACCUUUACUAUAGCUUGACACUGAACAUUGAGCCUUGAUGUGUAGGAUAGGUGGGAGGCUUAGAAGUGUGGACGCCAGUCUGCAUGGAGCCGACCUUGAAAUACCACCCUUUAAUGUUUGAUGUUCUAACGUUGACCCGUAAUCCGGGUUGCGGACAGUGUCUGGUGGGUAGUUUGACUGGGGCGGUCUCCUCCUAAAGAGUAACGGAGGAGCACGAAGGUUGGCUAAUCCUGGUCGGACAUCAGGAGGUUAGUGCAAUGGCAUAAGCCAGCUUGACUGCGAGCGUGACGGCGCGAGCAGGUGCGAAAGCAGGUCAUAGUGAUCCGGUGGUUCUGAAUGGAAGGGCCAUCGCUCAACGGAUAAAAGGUACUCCGGGGAUAACAGGCUGAUACCGCCCAAGAGUUCAUAUCGACGGCGGUGUUUGGCACCUCGAUGUCGGCUCAUCACAUCCUGGGGCUGAAGUAGGUCCCAAGGGUAUGGCUGUUCGCCAUUUAAAGUGGUACGCGAGCUGGGUUUAGAACGUCGUGAGACAGUUCGGUCCCUAUCUGCCGUGGGCGCUGGAGAACUGAGGGGGGCUGCUCCUAGUACGAGAGGACCGGAGUGGACGCAUCACUGGUGUUCGGGUUGUCAUGCCAAUGGCACUGCCCGGUAGCUAAAUGCGGAAGAGAUAAGUGCUGAAAGCAUCUAAGCACGAAACUUGCCCCGAGAUGAGUUCUCCCUGACUCCUUGAGAGUCCUGAAGGAACGUUGAAGACGACGACGUUGAUAGGCCGGGUGUGUAAGCGCAGCGAUGCGUUGAGCUAACCGGUACUAAUGAACCGUGAGGCUUAACCUU